AAAAAGACAAUGAGAAGGAAUAUUAAGAGUCCUCUGUGCUCACAGAGAGCUGUCGUGGGUGGAAGGCAGCAGUGCAAGGCUCCCAACUGGCCUUUGAGUUCCUUUUUUGAACAGGCGGUGCCUCAGUAGGAAAAGGCGGAUGUUCCCGUUAUAGAACCAAUGAGUGCAUUCUGCUAGAUGGCAGGGUGAACUAGAGUGGUACCACGGAAUGCAGCCCUUUCGUCUCUAGG
This 230-nucleotide non-coding RNA is filed under the name Blautia hydrogenotrophica. RNAcentral's name for it is "T-box sequence". It matches the Rfam family "T-box leader". Rfam says of the family: Uncharged tRNA acts as the effector for transcription antitermination of genes in the T-box leader family. T-boxes are found upstream of many aminoacyl-tRNA synthetase genes and some amino acid biosynthetic genes usually in Gram-positive bacteria. Lineage: Bacteria; Bacillati; Bacillota; Clostridia; Lachnospirales; Lachnospiraceae. The record is from RNAcentral.